Molecule: unclassified non-coding RNA, 262 nt
Filed under: plant metagenome
Description: partial contains small subunit ribosomal RNA, internal transcribed spacer 1, and 5.8S ribosomal RNA
Source: RNAcentral
UUUCCGUAGGUGUACCUGCGGAAGGAUCAUUAUUGUAUAACCGAGGUGCGAGGGCUGUCGCUGACCCGAAAGGUCGUGCACGCCCGAGUGCCCUCACACACAUCCAUCUCACCCCUAUGUGCACCACCGCGUGGGUCCCCCUUUGGCUUGUUCGGAGGGGGGCUUACGUUUUCACACAAACUUUGUAUGCAGUGUAGAAUGUAUUUUUGUUUUUGCGAUCACGCAAUCAAUACAACUUUCAACAACGGAUCUCUUGGCUCUC